UACGAAGGGGGCUAGCGUUAUUCGGAAUCACUGGGCGUAAAGCGGACGCAGGCGGUGUGUUAAGUCAGGGGUGAAAUCCCGGAGCUCAACUGCGGAACUGCCUUUGAAACUGGCAGACUAGAGUGUCGGAGGGGGUAGUGGAAUUCCUAGUGUAGCGGUGAAAUGCGUAGAUAUUAGGAGGAACACCGGUGGCGAAGGCGUUUACCGGGACGAGUAAUGACGAUCAUGUCCGAAAGCGUGGGGAGCAAACAGG
RNAcentral lists this ribosomal RNA (253 nucleotides) under uncultured bacterium. RNAcentral describes it as "partial 16S ribosomal RNA". It matches the Rfam family "Bacterial small subunit ribosomal RNA", at positions 524 to 776 of the family's 1533-position model. The record is from RNAcentral.